RNAcentral lists this ribosomal RNA (568 nucleotides) under uncultured bacterium. RNAcentral describes it as "bacterial SSU rRNA". It matches the Rfam family "Bacterial small subunit ribosomal RNA", at positions 119 to 674 of the family's 1533-position model. The record is from RNAcentral.
AGGCAACCUGCCUGUAAGACUGGGAUAACUACCGGAAACGGUAGCUAAUACCGGAUAGCUGGUUUUCUCGCAUGAGAGAAUCAUGAAAGACGGAGCAAUCUGUCACUUAUGGAUGGGCCUGCGGCGCAUUAGCUAGUUGGUGAGGUAAUGGCUCACCAAGGCGACGAUGCGUAGCCGACCUGAGAGGGUGAACGGCCACACUGGGACUGAGACACGGCCCAGACUCCUACGGGAGGCAGCAGUAGGGAAUCUUCCGCAAUGGACGAAAGUCUGACGGAGCAACGCCGCGUGAGUGAUGAAGGUUUUCGGAUCGUAAAGCUCUGUUGCCAGGGAAGAACGUCUUAGAGAGUAACUGCUCUAAGAGUGACGGUACCUGAGAAGAAAGCCCCGGCUAACUACGUGCCAGCAGCCGCGGUAAUACGUAGGGGGCAAGCGUUGUCCGGAAUUAUUGGGCGUAAAGCGCGCGCAGGCGGCUAUGUAAGUCUGGUGUAUAACCUCGGGGCUCAACCCCGGGUCGCACUGGAAACUGUGUAGCUUGAGUACAGAAGAGGAGAGUGGAAUUCCACGU